GGCGCAUUCGUCUAGUGGUUAGGACACAAGGUUCUCAACUUUGGAACAGGAGUUCAAUUCUCCUAUGCGCUACCA
This 75-nucleotide transfer RNA is filed under the name Acidobacteriota bacterium. RNAcentral's name for it is "tRNA-Glu". It matches the Rfam family "tRNA". From Rfam's summary of the family: Transfer RNA (tRNA) molecules are approximately 80 nucleotides in length. Their secondary structure includes four short double-helical elements and three loops (D, anti-codon, and T loops). The record is from RNAcentral. RNAcentral also lists the same sequence under 2 other names. Lineage: Bacteria; Pseudomonadati; Acidobacteriota.